Molecule: long non-coding RNA, 260 nt
Filed under: Vigna radiata
Lineage: Eukaryota; Viridiplantae; Streptophyta; Magnoliopsida; Fabales; Fabaceae
Description: long non-coding RNA (VRAD_LNC012081)
Source: RNAcentral
AAGGCUCUCCAAAUACCGAGAGUUGCCUUCCAAAUGGGGUCCACAAUCAAUUUUAAAACCUUAACCUAAAAGGCACAUGUCCUACAUAAGGGUUUUUUACAAAAUUGCCCCUAAAAGGGUCCAAAACACCUAAUUCUAAUUAAGGACUUCUAGAAAACGAAAUUACAACUUUAAUUAGAAUCUAAAUGACUAAAUGUUGAGCCUUUGAAUGUGUCACGCCAUAUCCCAAUGCUCCAGAUGAUGUUUCCACAACUUCCCUG